CCUACGAGAGGCUGCAGUGAGGAAUAUUGGUCAAUGGGCGCGAGCCUGAACCAGCCAAGUAGCGUGAAGGAUGACUGCCCUACGGGUUGUACACUUCUUUUAUCAAGGAAUACAGUGAUGCACGUGUGCCUUUUUGUAUGUACUUUAUGAAUAAGGCUCGGCUAACUCCGUGCCAGCAGCCGCGGUAAUACGGAGGAUCCGAGCGUUAUCCGGAUUUAUUGGGUUUAAAGGGAGCGUAGAUGGGUUGUUAAGUCAGUUGUGAAAGUUUGCGGCUCAACCGUAAAAUUGCAAUUGAUACUGGCAGUCUUGAGUACAGUUGAGGUAGGCGGAAUUCGUGGUGUAGCGGUGAAAUGCUUAGAUAUCACGAAGAACUCCGAUUGCGAAGGCAGCUUACUAAACUGCCACUGACAUUGAUGCUCGAAAGUGUGGGUAUCAAACAGGAUUAGAUACCCGGGUAGUC
RNAcentral lists this ribosomal RNA (460 nucleotides) under uncultured bacterium. Its description in RNAcentral is "partial 16S ribosomal RNA". It matches the Rfam family "Bacterial small subunit ribosomal RNA", at positions 338 to 795 of the family's 1533-position model. The record is from RNAcentral.